GACCCAAGUUUGAAGUAGAGUAGAUUAGAAUGAUCAUCUGACUCUACUAAACUACUCUACUUCGAGUGUGUGCUC
This 75-nucleotide microRNA precursor is filed under the name Haemonchus placei. RNAcentral describes it as "mir-5928 microRNA precursor family". It matches the Rfam family "mir-5928 microRNA precursor family". The record is from Rfam by way of RNAcentral. Lineage: Eukaryota; Metazoa; Nematoda; Chromadorea; Rhabditida; Trichostrongylidae.